AGAUUCUUUUGUUAAAUAAAAACAUGACUGCCUAUUUUGCUUGUCAGGACCAAGAUCUCUAGCUAUCAAUGAAAUUUUCAGAGUAGUUUUUGUUGCCUUUGUGUAACCCUGAUAGCAGCUUCUUGGAAGGUUCAGAUGUGUGGCAAAGGAUUUCAAUUUUCCUGUUUACACAAAGGAAACUCGAGGAAGGUUCAGAUUUCUCAUGCUUGGUUCUGUGCUCUCAGGGUUACAUAGACAAAAAUGCCUCCUAUUUACACAAAGGCAACUCGAGGAAGGUCCAGAUUUCUCAUGACUGCUUCUUCGGCAUUUCAUGCCUGUGCCAUCUUAUUAGAAAAUGUAGUUUGUUUUAUAGCUGAUGAUGCUUGAUGCUUUUAUCGAUUAGUAAAUGCUCAGCUUUAGCUCAUAAACUACAUGGCAAAAGCUACUUCCGAUGGGUCUGAUGCAAAUAAUUUUCAUCUUUAGACAUUCCUUUAGUUGAUUAUUUAAUCCUUUUAUAAGAAUCUAUUUAGCUUUGUAUUGUUGCAGUUUCAUUAUAUAUCCACUUACCAAUGCAUCUAAAGAUUCAACAAUGUAGAAUCCAGCAUCAGUCUUGGGACUAGAAAUUGUUUCUUCAUUCCUCCGUGUUGCACUGUAGGUGAUAAGGGGUCGAGGUCGUAUGUUCGUCGUGGCAUCAAUACAGUAAUACACUUCACUUUCCUUUUCCUUUUCCCUUUUUCUGUUCUUGCAUUUAUUUCUUCUUCGCGGACCUCUCUGUCUACUGCUUUAAUAUGGUUCUGAUUGGUGCCCUGCAUCUUCCAAGAUAUAUGGAUUUUGGUCGAGGUAGUCAUCACAUAAGUAAAAUGCUAUCAACCUCUCAAUUUCUGAAUGGAUUUGUUAAAUUGCCUUUCUCUUGUUGGAUCACAUACCUGAUUUGUUUGUUGUCCUUGAAGCAAAUACCAUGACAUGAGCUUGAAGAUUUCAAAGAUACAGAAGGUUGACAGAAAGAGGAUACACUGAUUUCAGCUGCGGACAUUGAGCUGAGUCUCUCCCUAAUAGAUUUGUUUCCCUACAAUAUGGCGGAUUAAUGCAUAUUCUUCUGAAGUCAUAGUACAUUCAUGGUCUGUAUAUAUGUUUGUAUGCUGCAAACCUGAGUCCGGUUUCAAAGUUUGGCCGCAGCUAGCUUGAUUUGGAGACAUUUCCUGUUAGGAGUUAAACUUUGGUUUGGAGGCAUCGAGCUUUGGCUGU
Triticum aestivum (bread wheat) is the source of this 1224-nucleotide long non-coding RNA. RefSeq lists it as uncharacterized. The record is from RefSeq and is a predicted model, not a curated record. NCBI's taxonomy places the organism in Eukaryota, Viridiplantae, Streptophyta, Magnoliopsida, Poales, Poaceae. The transcript is spliced from 3 exons.